RNAcentral lists this unclassified non-coding RNA (560 nucleotides) under Hevea brasiliensis (rubber tree). Lineage: Eukaryota; Viridiplantae; Streptophyta; Magnoliopsida; Malpighiales; Euphorbiaceae. The record is from RNAcentral.
CAGAGAGCUGAAACGAGUCGACAAAGAUGAAGACCGAGUCGAAUUCGAGUCCAAAAGCGCCGUUAUUGGUCGUUCAUGAGAGAAAACAAAGUGGCAGACUGAGUCGAAGCAAAUCGGUGCGAACACUCAGAGACGAGUUUUUCUCCAGAUUGCCUGAUAAGGUUCGAUCUGAUGUGGAUGUUGAGUCUCCCUUUCACGUUGAUAUCCCUAAAACCAAAGGAUUGACCAAAGAUGAGAAGGAAUACUACGAAAGACAAUUUGCUACAUUAAAAUCGUUUGAGGAAGUUGAUUCUCUGGAUUUAGAUGACACCAUCGAUGAGGAAGACGAUGAAGAACAGCUGCAAGCUGAAAGGGCCAUGAAAAUCUCUAAUUAUGCAAAUAUUUUACUCUUGGCAUUCAAGAUCUAUACUACAGUAAAGAGUGGAUCAUUAGCCAUUGCUGCAUCAACCUUAGAUUCUUUACUUGAUCUCAUGGCUGGUGGCAUACUCUGGUUCACUCACCUUGCUAUGAAAAACAUAAAUAUCUACAAAUAUCCUAUUGGAAAAUUGAGGGUGCAGCCC